UGAUGCAGCCAUGCCGCGUGUAUGAAGAAGGCCUUCGGGUUGUAAAGUACUUUCAGCAGUGAGGAAGGUGGGUAUGUUAAUAGCAUACUCAUUUGACGUUAGCUGCAGAAGAAGCACCGGCUAACUCCGUGCCAGCAGCCGCGGUAAUACGGAGGGUGCGAGCGUUAAUCGGAAUUACUGGGCGUAAAGCGCAUGCAGGUGGUUUGUUAAGUCAGAUGUGAAAGCCCGGGGCUCAACCUCGGAAUUGCAUUUGAAAACUGGCAAACUAGAGUACUGUAGAGGGGGGUAGAAUUUCAGGUGUAGCGGUGAAAUGCGUAGAGAUCUGAAGGAAUACCGGUGGCGAAGGCGGCCCCCCUGGACAGAUACUGACACUCAGAUGCGAAAGCGUGGGGAGCAAACAGGAUUAGAUACCCUGGUAG
Molecule: ribosomal RNA, 419 nt
Filed under: uncultured bacterium
Lineage: Bacteria
Description: bacterial SSU rRNA
Rfam family: Bacterial small subunit ribosomal RNA
Source: RNAcentral